UGAUGACGAGACGCUAAGGCGUUGAAGCAGUGUAUGUCAGACUUCCAAGAAAAGCUCGCAAUGUCACAAAUAAAAGAUGCCUGUACCAUAACCGACACAGGUGGGUAGGUAGAGUAUACUAAGGGGCGCGAGAUAACUCUCUCUAAGGAACUCGGCAAAAUGACUCCGUAACUUCGGGAGAAGGAGUGCCUUAUUUAUAAGGUUGCAAUAACAAGAUCCAAGCAACUGUUUAUCAAAAACACAGGUCUCCGCUAAGUCGUAAGACGAUGUAUGGGGGCUGACGCCUGCCCAGUGCCAGAAGGUUAAAGAAGUUGGUUAGUGUAUGCGAAGCUGAUGACUGAAGCCCUGGUGAACGGCGGCCGUAACAAUAACGGUCCUAAGGUAGCGAAAUUCCUUGUCGGGUAAGUUCCGACCCGCACGAAAGGCGUAAUGAUUUGGAUACUGUCUCGGAGAGAGGCUCGGUGAAAUAGACUUGUCUGUGAAGAUGCGGACUACCUGCACCAGGACAGAAAGACCCUAUGAAGCUUUACUGUAACUUGACAUUGGAAUUGGACUUUGCUUGCGCAGUAUAGGUGGGAAGCGUUGAAAAUAUUCUUGCGGGAGUAUUGGAGCUAUCAGUGAGAUACCACUCUUGUAAUGUUAGAUUUCUAACUUUGAACCAUAAUCUGGUCAAAGAACAGUUUCAGGUGGGCAGUUUGACUGGGGCGGUCGCCUCCCAAAUGGUAACGGAGGCGUACAAAGGUUUCCUCUGAACGGAUAGAAAUCGUAUCUAGAGUGUAAAGGCAUAAGGAAGCUUGACUGUGAGACCUACAAGUCGAGCAGGGACGAAAGUCGGUCUUAGUGAUCUGACGGUACUGAGUGGAAAGGCCGUCACUCAACGGAUAAAAGUUACCCUAAGGAUAACAGGCUGAUCUCCCCCAAGAGUUCACAUCGACGGGGAGGUUUGGCACCUCGAUGUCGGCUCAUCGCAUCCUGGGACGGUAGUACGUCCCAAGGGUUGGGCUGUUCGCCCAUGAAAGCGGUACGCGAGCGGGUUCAGAACGUCGUGAGACAGUUCGGUCCAUAUCCGGUGUAGGCGCUAGAAUAUUGAGAGGAGCCUUCUUUAGUACGAGAGGACCGAGAAGGACACACCGCUGGUGUACCAGUUAUCGUGCCAACGGUAAACGCUGGGUAGCUAUGUGUGGAGUGGAUAACCGCUGUAAGCAUCUAAGUGGGAAGCCCACCUCGAGAUGAG
Molecule: ribosomal RNA, 1234 nt
Filed under: metagenome
Description: bacterial LSU rRNA
Rfam family: Bacterial large subunit ribosomal RNA
Source: RNAcentral